Brassica napus (rape) is the source of this 7011-nucleotide long non-coding RNA. RefSeq lists it as uncharacterized. The transcript has 6 exons. The record is from RefSeq and is a predicted model, not a curated record. NCBI's taxonomy places the organism in Eukaryota, Viridiplantae, Streptophyta, Magnoliopsida, Brassicales, Brassicaceae.
GGCAGAGGACAAACAUUUUCUAGAAGAUGGUUAAAGCUAAGAGGAAUCAGUGAGUUUUGUGGAGAUGUAGAUUGGGUUCAUCAAAGAUGAAAAUCAUAUAUAUAGGGUUUAUAGAGGGGCUAAAAAUCAGAAACAUUUAUGAUCAAGCGAUUUAAGAUGGGGACAUGAAGAGUUCACCGGUGAAAAAAUAGAUUACGAACAGACACACGGCGCAACUCUGUAACUCAGACUUGUUUGAGACAAUGAUGAAAAGAACUCAAACUCAUGUUAAACGACAACAGUUUACAAUAUGGAAAAACUAUAAUUGUUGCAAACUUGAGCUUUUUUCAUAUAACGUGAUGAAUCUCAUUUAAAAAUGAAACCCAUAAUACACUUGUAGGCCCGGCCCUCAGAGGAAACCGAAGAAGCGAGGGCUUCCGACCUUUAUAAAUAUAUAUUAGGUUCGGCCAUCAAUGUACAAAGUAUCAUUUAGCUUAGUGGUAUAAAUGUUAAAGUUUAUUUCUCAAUAACCCGGGUUCGAGCCAGGGACUUGACACUUUUUCACACUUUUUAAAAGUAGAGUCCACAAAACGCGACGUGGCGUGCUGAGAAGUGAGCAAAAACUCAACUAUUAUAAUAUAGAUUUAUUUAAUUUUAUUAAUAUAUAUUAUUAUGUUUUUUAUUUUUAAUAUAGCUAAAAGAAAUUGUUUAACACAAAACUUCUAUAAAUAUUUUAUAAAUUAUUAUUACAACAAUAUAAUUGAUAUAAGAGAGUUAAAUUUAAUAUUUUGUCACAAAUUUAAGGUAUAUAUGGAAAUUAUUAUCAUUUAAAAAUAAAUAAAAAAAAUUGUAUUAAAUUUUUCGUAAAAUUAAAAUUUUCUGUCAACUGAUUAAAUCGAACACCUCACAAAAUAUUAAAAACAAAAUUCAGGAUAUGAAAAAAUUUUAUUACUGAAAGAUUUCAGAUCAAAGCAAAUCACAAUAUGAAUAUUUAAACAGAAUAUUGUUUUAAAAAAUAUAUUUUUAUUUAAACAGAAUAUAUAUAUACUGUAAUUUCUGGAUAUUCGCCUCCGUGUUCAGGUGUAGUAUAAGCCCAUCCGUGUUUGCGCUGAGCGUCAGGAGAUUGGUGCUUGAUAUUAAUGAAGUUUCUUAUUGGUUAUUAAAGUCGACAUGCUAGACUAGUUCAGGGACCUUUUGGUUGUUAUAAAAUGAGUUGAUUACAUAUUAGAACACAUUUUGUCUUUCUUUUACACAAAGAGACACAUAUCAUAUGUGACACACUUUCUGGUGGGUCCAACUAGUUAGUUUGACAAAAAAGCCCUUGAAAGAAAUGAGAUUGAGUUUCGUUUCGUUGGGGGAACAACCUUGACUCAUUUUUUGAAUUGACUUUACAACUUGUAGAGUUUAUGUAGUUUUCUAUUUAUAUUACUAUUAUUCCAUCUAAUGUUUUUAUUGACUUUUUUCAAAUACUAAGAUAUACAAAACAAUUAUAAUUGUUACAAUAAACUGUAAUUUUUUUUCUCUUUAUUUUAAGAUUCAUUUCCAUAUAUAUAUUUUAUAUAUUUUAAUAAUUAUAUAAAAAUGCAUGGAUAUAAAAGAUGUGGACGGAAAAAUGUGGUCAUAGAUGGAUUAAAUGAACAUGCACAGAUAGCUAUUUUUACAUUUUCUUUAACAAUUCACAUAUUUAUUAUUUGUUUUUAAUUUGAACCAAAAAAUAUUUUAUAGACAAAAGUUUUCAAUUAAGAUGUAGGUAAAUAUAGGUAAAUCAUUCAUCUAAGUUUUCUUUAGAAAAUGAAAAAUGUGGAUUAGAUAGUGGACAUGGAAGAUGUGGAUGGAUAAAUGUGGACACGAGUUCAUGUGGAUACUAUUUUUCAUCAACUCACCAAUUUUCUUGACUUAAAAAUAUCGGACCAUUGCAGCCGCAACCACCACCAUUGAGUUCAUGUUCCACCUCGCUAAAGGUUUCAUCUUUCGAUCUGCUGUACAUCGCUGGAGACUUACCCUGUGAACAUGUCCAAUCAAACACAACUAAUUCUCAAUCUCAGAAAAGACAAACUCUGAGAUCUAAUAGAUCUGUGAAUCUUGUGGACUGACGGUGAUGAUAGAUCGUGGAGUUCUGGUGACGACGACCGCGGGUCGACUCGUUUUCUUUUUCAAUGUCUUGAGAUUGACGAGUAUUCUAUUUUUCUGAUGGAUUCAUGGUUUACGAGAAUAAGAGGAAGCGAUCUGCAAGCAUAACAUAGGGGUAACUGGAGUUGGGUGUCUUACAGGUUCUUAGCAAGUGAUUGAUCGUGUUUAUGUGAGUUGAUGUUACAAACAUUGAUUUUUAUUUGUUUAUGUUUUUUGUAUUUUUAUUUGAUAUAUUAAAAAAAAAGUUUAAAAACCUUCGCAGCCACACAAAUGGUGUCGGAAACAUUGAGUUGUCCAUGAAGAUGAAGAUAGAGUCGUUGAAAAUGGAGAAAUAUAACAAAUUGAAGAAGAACAAAAACACAAAUGCAAAGAAUGUAAUGAGAUGUCCACAGUUUGUUGUCGACAUUUUUUAUGUCCACGCAUUUUUAUAUAAUUGUUAAAAUAUAUAAAAUAUAUAUAUGAAAAUAGAUCUUGAAAUAUAGAGAAAAAGAAAUUACUAUUUAUUGUAAAAUUAUAUUUGCUUUAUAUAUUUUAAAACUUGAGAAAAAAACAAAUAAGAUAGAAGAAAGAAUGAAUAAUAAUAACAUUAAACAAAAACAUAAAACUUUUCUUUAUUCAAAGAGAAAAAAGAAGAUAACUUGACGAAUAAGAUGUGACGAGAGAGAAAGAGACCACAAAUGGUAUAAAGGACAAACAACAAGACAAAUGUGUGUCUCAAGUGAAAUGUGCUCCUUAGCGAUAUUAAGAAAUGAAAAUGUGUCUUGGGAUGUAAAUUUUUCAUCGUUUCUACGGUAUUGGUCGUGACGUGGGCAUCAUGACUUUUCUCAAAGUUUAGUCAGCUGCUUUUGAGAUAGGUUGUUGAACGACCUGAUUAUGCGCACGCUCCCAAAUAUCGUGGAAUGAACCCCUCCCCCACAAAAAAAAAGACAAUUUGUUGGCAAUAGACAAUAAGAAAAUAAUUGAAAAAAUUACACUCUCGGUCACUUUUUCACUUUCGUAUUACGCCGCAAGCCACAUUCCACGUGAACAAUACAUGAUAGUGUAUCAAAGACAUCAAUGCCCUCUAACUAGAGGUGAACCAACUUCACUUCCUUCUCUCCUCUAUCUCCCAAUUUCGAGUUUCUUUGUUGAGUAACCAAAACAACACGUGGUCCCUCUCUCCUCUAUCUUCUUAAUUUACCAGUUCAAAAAUCCUAAUCGAUCAAAAAAAAAAUUUCAGAGGCUACAGAGACUUCGAACUCAUCCCUCCCAGAAAGCCACCUCCUUUCUCAUUCCUCACGGCCCACCAGAUUUCUUUUUCUUACUAACAUUUCCAUCAACCUUCUCAUAUCUCCUGUUCUUUAAAGCUAUAUAGUCGUUUUUCUCUGUAAGUUACCAACUUGAAGCGUUAAAGACAUGCGAGGACAAGAAUUUUAUGACAACAACUUUGAGUGUCACAGAUUCAAACACCCAUUGAAGAAGAUGACACUCCAUCACACUCCCCUAUGGUCAGCCAAUACGGCACACAACAUUACGUCCACAACUCCCCAUACAUGUCUUGCCGGUCAACAACUCACCGUCCACACCACACUCGUCCACAAUUCACCCGUCCACAACUCACCCAUCUAUAACUCUCCCAUCCACAUCUCACCCGUCCACAACUCCCCCGACCACAACUCUGUCGUCGUAAAGUCUCCUUCUUUUUAUCUCCUCACCACCGCAAACGGCCUUGGUCUUCGUGAAUGUAUGGGGCAAGCGGAAAGUGGCACCUAGUGCAAUGUAAACUCAAAAAGUGGCCCAUUAUGUAAUCAACUAUUUAGCCGGUUUUGCUAAAAAAGGUUAAUAUUAAUAAUUUAACCAGAAACUAAAUAGAGUACUAUACGUCUUUUUCAUUUUUUUUCUAUAACGGAUUCAACAAUUAAGUUUUCCUGUCAAAAGUAUUCAAUUGUACGUGAGAUUGUUUAAUCUGGGGUGACAUGUCCAAAGCUGGUAGGGUUUUAGACAGACUUGAAUCUAGCAGAUUUACAUUUUAACAUCAGGUAAAAAUAUUUACUCUCUCUUAAUGAAAGCAUUUAUAUAUUGUAUAGGUCAACGAAAGAAAAAAAUUUGUGGAAAAAUUUAUCUGAGUUGACAAAAAUGGAUAACGUGUAUGUAUGGUGCACCAUUUAUGUUUGUUUAUUGUUAUUGUGUAGAAUAAUUUUAUUUUAGUUUAUUAUUUGAGUAUAUUCACUAAGCUGAUGUUCAUUGCUAAGAAAUUUUAUAUCCUUUCUUCAAGAGGGCGACGACCUAAAAGUUUGGUUCGGAGAGAGAAGACUCAGUUUGUAAUUUUGAAACUUACGGCUGAGACACUUUUGUUAUUUGGAGUUGAGAAGCUUUGGGACCUUAUUGUCCGGGAAUCUGAGCGAUUAAAGGGAGUUGAUGAGCAAUUCACUGAAUUAAAAAGUGACAUAAAUAUGUUAAGGUGCUUUUUGAAAGAUGCUGAUGCCGAGAAGCAUACAAAUGCAAUGGUGAGAAAUUGUUUGGAAGAGAUCAAAUAAAUCGUUUAUGAUGCAUAAGAUAUAAUUGAAACCUUUCUUAUGAAAGAACUUGGGAAAGCAAGUGGGAUCAGGAAGCAUAUGAGAAGGCUUGCUUUUAGCAUAGUAGAUUGUAUGGAACAUGCUACAGAGAUAAGAGGCUCGAGUAAGAGGAUCUCCAAAGUGAUACUCAGUAUGCAGAGUUUUGGCUUGCAACAAAGCAUUUCUGGUGACGGCUAUUCACAGCCUUUACAAGAAAGAAGGGAGAUGCAGAAAACGUUUUCUAAUGACAAUGAAAACAAUCUUGUUGGUUUGGAGAAAAAUGUUAAAACUUUGGUUCACUAUUUGGUGGAGGAAGAUUGCAUUAGAGUGAUUUCUAUAACUAGGAUGGGUGGUAUCGGUAAAACCACUAUUGCUAGACAAGUUUUUAAUCAUGAGACAGUGAAAAAUCAUUUUGAAGGGCUUGCAUGGGUAUGUGUUUCACAACAGUUUACACGAAAAGAUGUGUGGCGGACGAUCUUGCGGAAUCUUCAACCAAAUUAUGAGGAGAUUACAGAAGAUGAAAUCCAAAACAAACUCUUUGGACUGAUGGAAACACAAAAUUAUCUGAUUGUCCAUGAUGAUAUAUGGAAAGAAGAAGAUUGGGAUAGAAUAAAGCCAUUUUUUUUUAUUAAAAUGGGGGUAUCUCAGACCUAUGGAAGGACCCAGACUAAUCUCCAAGUGGAGGUGCAACCUACGGAUAGACCCUCUCUCCGGGUAUGCAAAUGAGCCCUAAAGCAUGAGUCCAUAUCCGUGUGGUGUCCAGAGACAUCAUGAAAUAGUUCCUUCCAGCAGGUUUCGAACUCACAACCUGGUGCAUGAAGGAGCCCGUCCUUACCAUUGGGCCAUGAUGUUCCGGACAAUAAAGCCAAUUUUUCCACAGAAAAAAGGUGAUGUUUUAUGAUGAAUAUAUUAGACUGUUCUUUACUGAUAUUCACUAUUUGGUUAAAGAAAUAUAAAUCUAUCGUUGUGUUCCUUUUUUCUAAGAAUAUAAUGUAGUAAAUAAAUAUAAUCCAGAUCAGAAAGUAAUACUUACUUCUCGUAAUGAGGAUGUGGCAAUACGAGCAGAUCCAACAUACGUGACCUUUAAACCACAAGGCUUUACUCAUGAAGAAAGUUGGAAACUUUCUCAAAAGAUUGCAUUUCCUAAGAAUGAAGUAGACGAGUUUAGUGCUGAUAAAGAAAUGGGAGAGAUAUGUAAGGAGAUGAUCAAACAUUGUGAAGGUUUACCAUUGCCUAUAAAAGUGUUAGGAGGGUUGCUAGGUGCCUAAUACACAAUGCGUCAGUGGAGAAGAGUACAUGAGAAUUUGGAUCUCACUUUUUAGGAAAAACUAUUUUUGGUGAUGCAAUGGUAGGUUGGUUUAUCAUGUGUUGUCUUUGGGCUACGAAGAGUUACCUAUGUGCCCAAUGUCUUUAGAAUCGUCUAUUUUCUUAACUUCGUUUUUAUUAUAUCAUUUAUGUCAAUCCGGUUUUCUGGCUUCUACAGGUUAGAGUUUUGAGAACCACCUUUUUAUUUAAAUGUUAUUAAUCCCUUUAAACAGUGAUGAUUCAAGCUUGAAUGAGCGAUUCUUCCAAAUGAUGAUAAUAGAAGACCAGAGGAUGCAAACUACACCGUAGAUGUACUGACUAGAUGUAUGGUCAGCAGAGAUGGGGCUGGCAAAAAGAAAAGUAAGCUUGUGCCAUUUAAGCAACGUGGUGAGCCCGUUGUGGUCUCUAAUAUAUUUAUCUCAGAUUAAGAGUUUAAGCAGUGCAAUGUUGUGGAAUUGAAGCGGAAGGUUGCUUGUGAAAUUAGCAGUGCAGAGGAAUUGACAUUGACGGAGCUUAUGUUCAGUGGUGUCUUCAAGGAAGCGAAGGUGGAGGAGUUGGCGAGAGAGGCUACCUGACGCAGCUAAACCCAGAGAAGAACUCGACUUAUUCUUCAUACAGUUACAAGACACAACCAGAUCGAUAUCGACCUCGAGAGUUUUGUCCACUCAUUCAGACCGGAUAUAAUGGAGGCGGUUUAUGCGUGGGCUAAAGGCUCCAAGUUUUAUGAGAUCAUGGAGAUUGCUUGUGUUUUCGAAGGGAGCAUGAUCAGAGCGAUAAGGAGAAUGGAGGAAGUUCUACAACAGCUUAUAGUAGUUGCAAAAAAUCCAUAGGUGAAACACAGCUUGAGGCUAAACUAGAAGAAGCAGUUUCCAAGAUCAAGAGGAGCAUUAUAUUUGCAGCAUCUGUCAACUUGUGAUGCCAUUUUGUUUAUUUCCGGCAAAAGUAAUAAAACAAAUGAAGCCAAGAGUUUUGUUUGUACAGUCUUUCAUUUGUCUUAAGAUUUUUUGACAUGUAUUAAGAACGAUAAAAAGCAUGAGGAAAUUUUUUUUAUUUCAUAAUUUUA